This 1722-nucleotide ribosomal RNA is filed under the name Escherichia coli 6-175-07_S4_C2. Its description in RNAcentral is "bacterial LSU rRNA". It matches the Rfam family "Bacterial large subunit ribosomal RNA", at positions 1 to 1767 of the family's 2925-position model. The record is from RNAcentral. Lineage: Bacteria; Pseudomonadati; Pseudomonadota; Gammaproteobacteria; Enterobacterales; Enterobacteriaceae.
UUAAGCGACUAAGCGUACACGGUGGAUGCCCUGGCAGUCAGAGGCGAUGAAGGACGUGCUAAUCUGCGAUAAGCGUCGGUAAGGUGAUAUGAACCGUUAUAACCGGCGAUUUCCGAAUGGGGAAACCCAGUGUGUUUCGACACACUAUCAUUAACUGAAUCCAUAGGUUAAUGAGGCGAACCGGGGGAACUGAAACAUCUAAGUACCCCGAGGAAAAGAAAUCAACCGAGAUUCCCCCAGUAGCGGCGAGCGAACGGGGAGCAGCCCAGAGCCUGAAUCAGUGUGUGUGUUAGUGGAAGCGUCUGGAAAGGCGCGCGAUACAGGGUGACAGCCCCGUACACAAAAAUGCACAUGCUGUGAGCUCGAUGAGUAGGGCGGGACACGUGGUAUCCUGUCUGAAUAUGGGGGGACCAUCCUCCAAGGCUAAAUACUCCUGACUGACCGAUAGUGAACCAGUACCGUGAGGGAAAGGCGAAAAGAACCCCGGCGAGGGGAGUGAAAAAGAACCUGAAACCGUGUACGUACAAGCAGUGGGAGCACGCUUAGGCGUGUGACUGCGUACCUUUUGUAUAAUGGGUCAGCGACUUAUAUUCUGUAGCAAGGUUAACCGAAUAGGGGAGCCGAAGGGAAACCGAGUCUUAAUUGGGCGUUAAGUUGCAGGGUAUAGACCCGAAACCCGGUGAUCUAGCCAUGGGCAGGUUGAAGGUUGGGUAACACUAACUGGAGGACCGAACCGACUAAUGUUGAAAAAUUAGCGGAUGACUUGUGGCUGGGGGUGAAAGGCCAAUCAAACCGGGAGAUAGCUGGUUCUCCCCGAAAGCUAUUUAGGUAGCGCCUCGUGAACUCAUCUCCGGGGGUAGAGCACUGUUUCGGCAAGGGGGUCAUCCCGACUUACCAACCCGAUGCAAACUGCGAAUACCGGAGAAUGUUAUCACGGGAGACACACGGCGGGUGCUAACGUCCGUCGUGAAGAGGGAAACAACCCAGACCGCCAGCUAAGGUCCCAAAGUCAUGGUUAAGUGGGAAACGAUGUGGGAAGGCCCAGACAGCCAGGAUGUUGGCUUAGAAGCAGCCAUCAUUUAAAGAAAGCGUAAUAGCUCACUGGUCGAGUCGGCCUGCGCGGAAGAUGUAACGGGGCUAAACCAUGCACCGAAGCUGCGGCAGCGACGCUUAUGCGUUGUUGGGUAGGGGAGCGUUCUGUAAGCCUGUGAAGGUGUACUGUGAGGUAUGCUGGAGGUAUCAGAAGUGCGAAUGCUGACAUAAGUAACGAUAAAGCGGGUGAAAAGCCCGCUCGCCGGAAGACCAAGGGUUCCUGUCCAACGUUAAUCGGGGCAGGGUGAGUCGACCCCUAAGGCGAGGCCGAAAGGCGUAGUCGAUGGGAAACAGGUUAAUAUUCCUGUACUUGGUGUUACUGCGAAGGGGGGACGGAGAAGGCUAUGUUGGCCGGGCGACGGUUGUCCCGGUUUAAGCGUGUAGGCUGGUUUUCCAGGCAAAUCCGGAAAAUCAAGGCUGAGGCGUGAUGACGAGGCACUACGGUGCUGAAGCAACAAAUGCCCUGCUUCCAGGAAAAGCCUCUAAGCAUCAGGUAACAUCAAAUCGUACCCCAAACCGACACAGGUGGUCAGGUAGAGAAUACCAAGGCGCUUGAGAGAACUCGGGUGAAGGAACUAGGCAAAAUGGUGCCGUAACUUCGGGAGAAGGCACGCUGAUAUGUAGGUGAAG